Molecule: long non-coding RNA, 404 nt
Organism: Oncorhynchus keta (chum salmon)
Lineage: Eukaryota; Metazoa; Chordata; Actinopteri; Salmoniformes; Salmonidae
Exons: 3
Source: RefSeq, a predicted model, not a curated record
CCUCGAUGUGCCUCGCAAGCGACGGAGCUUCCUGCGUGACAACAAAAGUAGCCUACUCUCGACAGCGCGGAGCGCGGCGAUGGAUUUGCGCUUUUACCACUAGUGGGGAUUAUAAUACAAAUAUUGGAUUACUACUCUCCUUUUGCGGCACCAGAUGUUAUCACCAGUCACUUGAUCUGUCCCAGCAUGCCCCUGGAAAAGGACACCUGACCUCUGGCUGAUCCUCACCAACAGAAACAUUCUCCUGGAGCACUAGACUGAGGGGUGUUCCUUUCCCUGAUCUGAGACUGAGCAGAGAGCUGGUCUUUCACUAGAGAAGAGCACACAGGAACAACGUGAAAGACUGAGGGGUGUUCCUUUCCCUGAUCUGAGACUGAGCAGAGAGCUGGUCUUUCACUAGAGAA